Molecule: ribosomal RNA, 105 nt
Filed under: Gossypium arboreum
Lineage: Eukaryota; Viridiplantae; Streptophyta; Magnoliopsida; Malvales; Malvaceae
Source: RNAcentral
CCAGCACUAAUGCACCGGAUCCAAUCAGAACUCCGCAGUUAAGAGUGCUUGGGCGAGAGUAGUGCUAGGAUGGGGGACCUCCUGGAAGUCCUCGUGUUGCACCCU